GACGAACGCUGGCGGCGUGCUUAACACAUGCAAGUCGAACGGAAAGGCCCUGCUUUCUUGGGGUGCCCGAGGGGGGAACGGGGAAGUAACAGGUGAGUAACCUGCCCUUGAUUUUGGGAUAACUUAAGGAAACUGGGCCUAAUACCGGAUAGGAGCCCCUCCUCCAUGGUGGGGGUGGGAAAGUUUCGGCGGUUGGGGAUGGACUCGCGGCUUAUCGGCUUGUUGGUGGGGUAGUGGCUUACCAAGGCUUUGACGGGUAGCCGGCCUGAGAGGGUGACCGGCCACAUUGGGACUGAGAUACGGCGCAGACUCCUACGGGAGGCAGCAGUGGGGAAUAUUGCACAAUGGGCGGAAGCCUGAUGCAGCAACGCCGCGUGCGGGAUGACGGCCUUCGGGUUGUAAACCGCUUUCGCCUGUGACGAAGCGUGAGUGACGGUAAUGGGUAAAGAAGCACCGGCUAACUACGUG
RNAcentral lists this ribosomal RNA (468 nucleotides) under uncultured bacterium. RNAcentral's name for it is "partial 16S ribosomal RNA". It matches the Rfam family "Bacterial small subunit ribosomal RNA", at positions 28 to 507 of the family's 1533-position model. The record is from RNAcentral.